UCGCCGCCGCGAGGCGCCGCCCGGCCGCUGCCGCCUCGCCCUGGCCGCCGCCUUCCUGGCGCUGCUCGUCGCCGCCGCGGUCUUCGCGGGUGAGAGGCGCUCGCCGGCCGUCGCUCUGUCUGUCCAUCUGUCGGUCUGUCCAUCUGUCGGGCCGCCCGUCGGUCUGUCCGGCCGUCGGUCUGUCCCUCGGUCUGUCGGGCCGUCUGUCGGGCCGUCCGUCGGUCUGUCCGGCCGCCCGUCGGUCUGUCCGGCCGUCGGUCUCUCUGUCCAUCCGUCGGUCCGUCCGUCGCUCUGUCCGUCCGUCCGUCUGUCAGUCCCUCCGUCGGUCUGUCGCUCAGGCCUUCGGGGCGCCCUGCGCCCGCUGCCCCCCCGGCUGGGUCCCCUUCGGGGGCAGCUGCUACGGCCCCUCGGCCGCCCAGGGCAGCUGGACGGACGGACGGGACAACUGCUCCGCGCUGGGCGCCGCGCUGGCCGUGCUGCCGGGCGCCGAGGACGUGGGCUUCGCCGCCGCCGCGUUCGGAGCCGCUUCGGGCCGCUGGAUCGGGCUGCGGCGGAGCGACGAGCGGCAGCCGUGGCGCUGGGCCGACGGCUCCCGGCCGCCCCCGCCGUGAGUCCGCGACCCCCCCCCCAAAAUAAAAUAAAAUAAAAUAAAAUAAAAUAAACCCCCCAAAACGGGCCAUUCCUCCUCCUCGGUCUCCUCGAAACGCGGCCCGUCCGGAGGGGGGUUAGUAAAUACAUAUAUAUAAUUUUUAUUUUGUUUUUGGGUGUUUUCUGCUCUGUCGUCUCCCGCCGCAGGUCGAGCGUCCGCGGCGGCGGCCGCUGCGGCUACGUGGACGGCGGCGGCCUCGGCUCGUCCGCCUGCGGCGCCCGCAGGA
Long non-coding RNA from Rhea pennata, 875 nucleotides. RefSeq lists it as uncharacterized. NCBI's taxonomy places the organism in Eukaryota, Metazoa, Chordata, Aves, Rheiformes, Rheidae. The record is from RefSeq and is a predicted model, not a curated record. The transcript has 3 exons.